CUUCACCGAACCCAGCCACAACGGCCGCUCACGAUCCUGCCCGUACGUCGCCAGAAUCGCCUGCGCCUC
This 69-nucleotide antisense RNA is filed under the name Streptomyces sp. DSM 15324. Its description in RNAcentral is "ASpks TB sRNA". It matches the Rfam family "ASpks TB sRNA". Lineage: Bacteria; Bacillati; Actinomycetota; Actinomycetes; Kitasatosporales; Streptomycetaceae. The record is from Rfam by way of RNAcentral.